UCUCACUGUUUCCUGUUUGCUCUCUGUCUUUUGUGGCACCUUUACUCUCUGCUCCGUGUCUGCACACCUGUUCCUCGUUUAAUUAGUUGUAUUUAGUUCCACCUGAGUCCCUCCUUCACUGCUUCAUUAUUAUUCUUUUUUGACGGAUGUGGAUCGGACGGGUUUUAUUCGCAACAGACGAUCCAUCUGGACUGGACCAUUUGAAGGACUGCUUGCAGGACAUAAAAGAGUGGAUGUCAAAAUUUCCUGCAGCUCAAUGACAGAGUGAAAUUCUUCUGUUCGGGAACUCCAACCCCCCAACUGUGCACAAUAGCCAAGAUCAAGUAUGUCCUCUCCCCCAGUGACUUAGAGGGUCGUGUUCAUGCUCAUCUUCUGCAGACUGGACUAAUGGAAUGCCCUCUAUGCUGGGGUCACUGACAAGACCAUAUAUAGCAUGCAGUUGGUACAAAAUGCUGGUGACAGGCACAAAAAUGAGGGAACACAUUUCUCCCAUCCUCUCCUCCCUUCACUGGCUCCUGGUGAAGCACAGAGUGAAAUUUAAGAUCCUUACGUAUGUCUUCAGAGCGCUCCGUGGUCUUACCCCAGCUUACAUCAAACAUCUCCUGGACCAACCUAUCAGCUCCAGGCUUGGUCGUUGCCUCAGAUCUGACAACCAGAUGACCUUGAAGGUCCCACAGUCAAACCUAGUGACAAAGAGAGACUGUGCAUUGUCAAUGAUGGUACCUGGCCUAUGGAAUAAGCUCCCCCUGAAAGUCAAGUCCGCCACCACUCUGGACACUUUUAGAGCACAGCUUAAAACUCACCUCUUUGCCGCAAAUGACUUGAUUUGUGUUCAUGUGUCUUAAAUGUUUGUUCUAAA
Nerophis ophidion (straightnose pipefish) is the source of this 859-nucleotide long non-coding RNA. RefSeq lists it as uncharacterized. The transcript has 2 exons. The record is from RefSeq and is a predicted model, not a curated record. NCBI's taxonomy places the organism in Eukaryota, Metazoa, Chordata, Actinopteri, Syngnathiformes, Syngnathidae.